UACAGGGGGGGCAAGCGUUGUUCGGAAUUACUGGGCGUAAAGGGUUCGUAGGUGGCCACUUAAGUCAGACGUGAAAUCCCUCAGCUUAACUGGGGAACUGCGUGUGAUACUGGAUGGCUUGGAUUUGGGAGAGGGAUGCGGAAUUCCAGGUGUAGCGGUGAAAUGCGUAGAUAUCUGGAGGAACACCGGUGGCGAAGGCGGCAUCCUGGACCAAUAUUGACGCUGAGGAGCGAAAGCUAGGGGAGCAAACGGG
This 253-nucleotide ribosomal RNA is filed under the name uncultured bacterium. RNAcentral describes it as "partial 16S ribosomal RNA". It matches the Rfam family "Bacterial small subunit ribosomal RNA", at positions 524 to 776 of the family's 1533-position model. The record is from RNAcentral.